Molecule: ribosomal RNA, 264 nt
Filed under: uncultured bacterium
Lineage: Bacteria
Description: partial 16S ribosomal RNA
Rfam family: Bacterial small subunit ribosomal RNA
Source: RNAcentral
GGAGGGUCCAAGCGUUAAUCGGAAUUACUGGGCGUAAAGCGCGCGUAGGCGGUAUGCUAAGUUGGGUGUGAAAUCCCCGGGCUUAACCUGGGAACUGCAUUCAAAACUUGCAUACUGGAGUACGGAAGAGGCGAGUAGAAUUCAUGGUGUAGCAGUGAAAUGCGUAGAUAUCAUGAGGAAUACCAAUGGCGAAGGCAACUCGCUGGUCCGAACUGACGCUGAGGUGCGAAAGCGUGGGUAGCAACAGGAUUAGAUACCUGUAGU